UAAGCGCUAGAAAGGUUUCGAUAGUUAAAAAUUACUCUGGAUACCGACUAAUUAGCGCUAGAUUAAUACCAAACUGAGAGCUAUUAAUGAACUCAGUUGAGCCAACAGGGCCGCAAAGAAUUAAGUCUGUCUUUGUACGGUAGUAAGCAGCUCGCACAAA
Non-coding RNA from Drosophila ficusphila, 160 nucleotides. Lineage: Eukaryota; Metazoa; Arthropoda; Insecta; Diptera; Drosophilidae. The record is from Rfam.